RNAcentral lists this ribosomal RNA (253 nucleotides) under uncultured bacterium. RNAcentral describes it as "partial 16S ribosomal RNA". It matches the Rfam family "Bacterial small subunit ribosomal RNA", at positions 524 to 776 of the family's 1533-position model. The record is from RNAcentral.
UACGGAGGGUGCAAGCGUUAUCCGGAUUCACUGGGUUUAAAGGGUGCGUAGGCGGUCAGGUAAGUCAGUGGUGAAAUCUUUGGGCUUAACCCGAAAACUGCCAUUGAUACUAUCUGUCUUGAAUAUUGUGGAGGUUAGCGGAAUAUGUCAUGUAGCGGUGAAAUGCUUAGAUAUGACAUAGAACACCAAUUGCGAAGGCAGCUAACUACACACAUAUUGACGCUGAGGCACGAAAGCGUGGGGAUCAAACAGG